AAUGUUAAGUUAGUGGCGGACGGGUGAGUAACGCGUGGGUAACCUGCCGUAUACCGGGGGAUAACACCUGGAAACAGGUGCUAAUACCGCAUAAGCGCACGGGACCGCAUGGUCCAGUGUGAAAAACCGAGGUGGUAUGCGAUGGACCCGCGUCUGAUUAGCCAGUUGGCAGGGUAACGGCCUACCAAAGCGACGAUCAGUAGCCGGCCUGAGAGGGUGGACGGCCACAUUGGGACUGAGACACGGCCCAAACUCCUACGGGAGGCAGCAG
This 271-nucleotide ribosomal RNA is filed under the name uncultured bacterium. RNAcentral describes it as "partial 16S ribosomal RNA". It matches the Rfam family "Bacterial small subunit ribosomal RNA", at positions 83 to 354 of the family's 1533-position model. The record is from RNAcentral.